AACGAACGCUGGCGGCAUGCCUAACACAUGCAAGUCGAACGAGACCUUCGGGUCUAGUGGCGCACGGGUUCGUAACGCGUUGGAACCUGCCCUUAGGUUCGGAAUAACUCCCCGAAAGGUGUGCUAAUACCGGAUAAUGUCUUCGGACCAAAGAUUUAUCGCCUUUGGUUGGGCCCGCGUUGGAUUAGCUAGUUGGUAGGGUAAAAGCCUACCAAGGCGACGAUCCAUAGCUGGUCUGAGAGGAUGAUCAGCCACACUGGGACUGAGACACGGCCCAGACUACUACGGGAGGCAGCAGUGGGGAAUAUUGGAAAAUGGGCGAAAGCCUGAUCCAGCAAUGCCGCGUGAGUGAUGAAGGCGUUAGGGUUGUAAAGCUCUUUUAACCGGGAUGAUAAUGACAGUACCGGGAGAAUAAGCACCGGCUAACUACGUG
Molecule: ribosomal RNA, 433 nt
Filed under: uncultured bacterium
Lineage: Bacteria
Description: partial 16S ribosomal RNA
Rfam family: Bacterial small subunit ribosomal RNA
Source: RNAcentral